GGUGGCUCAGUGGUAGAGUGCUUGUCUUGCAUGCAUUAGGCCCUGGGUUCGAUUCCUCAGCACCA
This 65-nucleotide transfer RNA is filed under the name Dipodomys ordii (Ord's kangaroo rat). It matches the Rfam family "tRNA". Rfam says of the family: Transfer RNA (tRNA) molecules are approximately 80 nucleotides in length. Their secondary structure includes four short double-helical elements and three loops (D, anti-codon, and T loops). Lineage: Eukaryota; Metazoa; Chordata; Mammalia; Rodentia; Heteromyidae. The record is from Rfam by way of RNAcentral.